UACGGAGGAUCCAAGCGUUAUCCGGAUUUAUUGGGUUUAAAGGGUGCGUAGGUGGCUGUUUAAGUCAGUGGUGAAAGCCUGUCGCUCAACGAUAGGACUGCCAUUGAUACUGAAUAGCUUGAGUACUGAUGAGGUAGGCGGAAUUGAUAGUGUAGCGGUGAAAUGCAUAGAUAUUAUCAAGAACACCGAUUGCGAAGGCAGCUUACUAAGGAGUUACUGACACUGAGGCACGAAAGCGUGGGGAUCAAACAGG
RNAcentral lists this ribosomal RNA (253 nucleotides) under uncultured bacterium. RNAcentral's name for it is "partial 16S ribosomal RNA". It matches the Rfam family "Bacterial small subunit ribosomal RNA", at positions 524 to 776 of the family's 1533-position model. The record is from RNAcentral.